UACGGGGGGGGCAAGCGUUGUUCGGAAUUACUGGGCGUAAAGGGCUCGUAGGCGGCCAACUCAGUCGGACGUGAAAUCCCUCGGCUUAACCGGGGAAUGGCGUCCGAUACUGGAUGGCUUGAGUUUGGGAGAGGGAUGCGGAAUUCCAGGUGUAGCGGUGAAAUGCGUAGAUAUCUGGAGGAACACCGGUGGCGAAGGCGGCAUCCUGGACCAACACUGACGCUGAGGAGCGAAAGCCAGGGGAGCAAACGGG
Molecule: ribosomal RNA, 253 nt
Filed under: uncultured bacterium
Lineage: Bacteria
Description: partial 16S ribosomal RNA
Rfam family: Bacterial small subunit ribosomal RNA
Source: RNAcentral